AUUUCUUCGGAUUGAAAUUUUAGUGACUGAGUGGCGGACGGGUGAGUAACGCGUGGGUAACCUGCCUCACACAGGGGGAUAACAGUCAGAAAUGGCUGCUAAUACCGCAUAAGCGCACAGAGCUGCAUGGCUCAGUGUGAAAAACUCCGGUGGUAUAAGAUGGACCCGCGUUGGAUUAGCCAGUUGGCGGGGUAACGGCCCACCAAAGCGACGAUCAGUAGCCGGCCUGAGAGGGUGAACGGCCACAUUGGGACUGAGACACGGCCCAAACUCC
Molecule: ribosomal RNA, 274 nt
Filed under: uncultured Eubacteriales bacterium
Lineage: Bacteria; Bacillati; Bacillota; Clostridia; Eubacteriales
Description: uncultured Clostridiales bacterium partial 16S ribosomal RNA
Rfam family: Bacterial small subunit ribosomal RNA
Source: RNAcentral